Molecule: long non-coding RNA, 358 nt
Filed under: Bos taurus (domestic cattle)
Lineage: Eukaryota; Metazoa; Chordata; Mammalia; Artiodactyla; Bovidae
Description: long non-coding RNA NONBTAT022223
Source: RNAcentral
GGGACAUAGAAAUGCAGGGAAUAACUAUGCCCUGCUGUGACCCUAGCUUCUCCUGACAUUGCCUCAGGAUCAAUUAUGGAGCAAAGCAAAUUUUAGGAACAAAGUACGUUAACCAGUAUCCAGUAUAGAAUUGAGAUGAUUGAAUAAACAAUAGUUUGUUACUUAACCUCAAAUCCAGAAUUUCAGAGGCAAUUUUUUUAACAUUCUUGAGAUCAGAAAACUGAUGAACAAAAACUAUAACCAAAUUGAUUUCAAAAUUGAAAACAAUUUUAUGAAAUAUUAAUUUCUAGAAAAUUUGUUAGUAAACUAAACCAAGCUUUUUCAUAAGUGUGGGAAUUCAACAAAUUUGACAAAGAAA